GUUGAUCCCGCUCGCGGUUUCUUUUCUAUUCAUUUUCCGCCGUCCGUCUAGUCCGUUUUUUUCUUUUUUGUUUUACCGAAAAUUAUUUAUCGGUUUUUCUUUACUCAUGUGGAUUUGAUGUGUAACGUUAUUGUUGAACGCUUACACACGGCUGUGAAACGAAGAAAACAUAAUACAUUUAAAAUAUAGUUUGUUUUUUUAUCAGCGUUAAGUACGUUCAAUACGAUUUGUUUUGCCAAACGAUAUAGGGAGAUAGCUGUUGUUUGAUUUAUUUAUACUUUUUUUGAACGGAAAUGAAUUGAAUUCAAAGGGUCUUCGGUGCUAACGAUACUGUUCAAAACGUUCACAGCUAUAAAACAACGAGUACUCGUUAUGAGUGUUACAACAUCAGUCGUUACACUUGGACGAAAGGAAAUUAAAACUUUUGCGAUGUAAUGUAAAUAAGAAAACCCGAUUGAUUUGAUGUGAAAUGCUGUAAUGAUAUUAUAAAAUGCACACACAGCUAUAAAAUAAUGAAGUAAACAUGGAAUAAUGCAGUUACUACUUCGGUACUAAUGAUUAACUAAUAAAAACAAACACAACUAUAAACUAAAGAAAACAUGGUAUGCCAUGCAUUUUUCAACUCAUUCUUUCAAUUAUAUAUGUUGAAUGUUAUAUUUUCGGUUUGUAUAAAUAAAUCUUACAGUAUCAGUUUUUACACUUGGAUGAAAGGAAAUGAAUAUAAAUUAAAACUUAUGUGAUAUUAUAAGGAUAAUAGUAAACCCAGUAUGUUUUAGUCUUAAUGUAAAUUA
This 791-nucleotide long non-coding RNA is filed under the name Sipha flava (yellow sugarcane aphid). RNAcentral's name for it is "uncharacterized LOC112681346, transcript variant X4". The record is from RNAcentral. Lineage: Eukaryota; Metazoa; Arthropoda; Insecta; Hemiptera; Aphididae.